UUUUAUGUGGAGUUAAAAUUUAAAAGAUUUAAAAUAAAUAAAAUUAGUAAUUACCUUUUGUAUCAUGAUUAAAUAAUUAUAAUAUUAUAAAAUAUUUCUCGAAAUAUUGUGAUUUUUUAAUUUUAACAUUCUUGGGUAAAGUAGUUUAAAUCAUUAAAAGAGGUGAUAUGUUAGUCGAACAAUAUUAUUACUAGGUAGUUAGGUUGAAAAAUAAUUAUUAUGUCGGCUUAGAGGUUGUCAUAAUUUUAAAAUCUUGUUUAUAUUAAAAAAAUAGGGUAUAAAAGUCACUGUAAUUAAAGUGUGUUAUAACAUUUUUAAUAAUUUUAUAAGAUUUUGUAAAACUAGCUAUAUCAAUUAAAUUUAAUAUUAUUAUGUUUAAAUUAGUAGAAAAUUUUAAGUGUAAAUAUCUCAAAUUAAAUCGAAAUGUUUAUUAAAAACAUUGUUAUAAAAAAUUUUUUAUGAUAUUACCUGCUCAGUGUUAGUUUAAUAAAUAGCCGCAGUAUCUUGACUGUGCUAAGGUAGCAUAAUUGCUUGUCUCUUAAAUAGAGAAUUGUUUGAAUGGUUUAUUUGAUUUAAUAAUUGAUUUAUAUUAAUUAUUUGAAUUUAGUUUUUGAGUCAAGAAUCUCAAAAUAUAAUAUAAGACGGAAAGACCCCGAGAACUAAAGAUUAAGGAUGUUGUUUGGGGCAAAAUUUUAUUUUUAUAAAAAUUAUGAACCAAAAAUGUUUUGUAUAGUGAGGUAGUUACCUCGGGGAUAACAGGGUAAGAAGCAAAAAGAGUACACAUCGAUUUGUUUAGUUGCUACCUCGAUUUUGACUUAAAAUUAUUAUUCGGCGUAGGAGCUAAAGUAAAUAGGCCUGUUCGGCCUUUAAAAUUUUUCAUGAGUUGAGUUAAGACCGGCGUAAGCCAGGUUGGUUCUUAUCUAUAUUAGAUUCUCUAUAGUACGAAAGGAUUUAGGGAAUUUUUAUUAAUUGUUUCGACAAUUUAAA
RNAcentral lists this ribosomal RNA (987 nucleotides) under Pseudorhabdosynochus yangjiangensis. RNAcentral describes it as "16S ribosomal RNA". The stretch from base 636 to 925 matches the Rfam family "Archaeal large subunit ribosomal RNA", at positions 2151 to 2715 of the family's 2987-position model. Lineage: Eukaryota; Metazoa; Platyhelminthes; Monogenea; Dactylogyridea; Diplectanidae. The record is from RNAcentral.